Long non-coding RNA from Scophthalmus maximus (turbot), 1261 nucleotides. RefSeq lists it as uncharacterized. The record is from RefSeq and is a predicted model, not a curated record. Lineage: Eukaryota; Metazoa; Chordata; Actinopteri; Pleuronectiformes; Scophthalmidae. The transcript has 3 exons.
GAAAUGCCACAUUGAAUUUGGGCGUUAUGUUGAGACACUGGAGUUGCCAGGCUCUGUGGGAAUUAGAACGUAAUGAAAGAAAAAAACUGCUCCUCACCAUGGCCCCAUCUUAUUUGGGCCCCACAACCGUUUCUCAUAAUGCCGGGCCUCAGGGAGUCAAGUGCUCAGAGUGGUCCUCUCCCUGGGAUUUUACGUGUGCCCCACGCUGUUGUCAGAAUGAUUUAGCUUUUACCUGGUGAGAGGUGCUUAACGUCACUCGGGCUUGUUCUCCACGACAGAAGUCUCAAGCAAAGACUGCGACCGUGGCAUUCCUGCUGGCUCCGAAAGCCGAAUUGCUGAUAUCAUUCAGAGAUCAUGUCCAGAUGAAUUGGUCAAGGGCCUCAUCUGCCACUGAUCUCCUGCAGCAGUCGCCUUGAAGACUGGUCAUGCUGCCUCGUAGGGAGCCUGACAUGGCUCCAGGGAGGACGGCAGGACCGAUGCUACGGCCGUCAGUGAUUCACCCGCAGCCUGGCUGGCAACUGAUCAUUACCACUUGUUCCAUUUUCGGAAAGAAAAGCUUUUUACUGGAGUAUUUCACACUGAGGAAAACAUAUGGCUGUAUGUGUGGAUAAGUGUGUUAGCGUAAAAUGACUAAUCAUCACAUUUUUUUUUUUUGUUAUCUUUGACCGUUUUCAAGAAAGCCAGAGUCAGUGUCUGUGGAUUUGCAGACACUCCAGUCAGUUAAUAGGGUCAAUGAAGUGGACAGGGUACCAGAUGACGAUGGCCAAAAAUCCAGGGGUGCUCGGGUAACUUGUGGACUAGAGGGUCUGUCUUCUAGGAACUGGGAGAUGUCGGAGGAAGUGGCCCUCUCUCUGACGUGAGGCUCCAGAAAGCUCAUGAUGGAUGAUUGUCUUCGGUGCUGGUCUUCAUCUCUUUACUAAAUGUGUCCCUGAGAUUUAGGUGACGGACAGGGGGGAUAGGGGGAACACAUAACAAAACCCUCAACCCAAACCAUAUGUCAUAUAGGCCUACCUACAAUAACUUUCCUGCCACAAGCCAUAACACUUUAUAACUCCUCACCUCUGGCUGACAGAUAGACGUUUUUUAAACAAAAGAGCAAACAUAAAUCCCGGCGCAUUUGCACUACUUCCACCGUUAAUACUUAAUGUAAAUUCUUUACAUUUUAUUAUUCUUAUUCUCUAUAUUUUUUGCAAUUUUAUAUUCUAAAUUCAUUUGUGUAUAUAUUGUAUAUAUUUUUAAUGUGUGCUGUGUAAAACGUGCU